This 72-nucleotide transfer RNA is filed under the name Camelus ferus (Wild Bactrian camel). It matches the Rfam family "tRNA". Rfam says of the family: Transfer RNA (tRNA) molecules are approximately 80 nucleotides in length. Their secondary structure includes four short double-helical elements and three loops (D, anti-codon, and T loops). The record is from Rfam by way of RNAcentral. Lineage: Eukaryota; Metazoa; Chordata; Mammalia; Artiodactyla; Camelidae.
GAGGGUAUAGCUCGGUGGUAGAGUGGCAUGCUUAGCGUGCACAAGGUCCUGGGUUCUAUCCCCAGUACCCCA